UGGGGAAUUUUGGACAAUGGGCGAAAGCCUGAUCCAGCCAUGCCGCGUGAGUGAAGAAGGCCUUCGGGUUGUAAAGCUCUUUUAGUCGGAAAGAAAGAGUUGCAAUGAAUAAUUGUGAUUUAUGACGGUACCGACAGAAAAAGCACCGGCUAACUACGUGCCAGCAGCCGCGGUAAUACGUAGGGUGCGAGCGUUAAUCGGAAUUACUGGGCGUAAAGGGUGCGCAGGCGGCCUUGCAAGCCAGAUGUGAAAGCCCCGGGCUUAACCUGGGAAUUGCGUUUGAAACUACAAGGCUAGAGUGCAGCAGAGGGGAGUGGAAUUCCAUGUGUAGCAGUGAAAUGUGUAGAGAUGUGGAAGAACACCGAUGGCGAAGGCAGCUCCCUGGGUUGACACUGACGCUCAUGCACGAAAGCGUGGGGAGCAAACA
RNAcentral lists this ribosomal RNA (427 nucleotides) under uncultured beta proteobacterium. RNAcentral's name for it is "bacterial SSU rRNA". It matches the Rfam family "Bacterial small subunit ribosomal RNA", at positions 355 to 774 of the family's 1533-position model. Lineage: Bacteria; Pseudomonadati; Pseudomonadota; Betaproteobacteria. The record is from RNAcentral.